RNAcentral lists this ribosomal RNA (253 nucleotides) under uncultured bacterium. RNAcentral describes it as "partial 16S ribosomal RNA". It matches the Rfam family "Bacterial small subunit ribosomal RNA", at positions 524 to 776 of the family's 1533-position model. The record is from RNAcentral.
UACGUAGGGGGCGAGCGUUGUCCGGAUUUACUGGGCGUAAAGCGCGUGUAGGCGGCGGCUUAAGUCGGGUGUGAAAGCCCGGGGCUCAACCCCGGGAUGCCGCUCGAGACUGGGUCGCUUGAGGACGGAAGAGGGGCGUGGAAUUCCUGGUGUAGCGGUGAAAUGCGCAGAUAUCAGGAGGAACACCAAUGGCGAAGGCAGCUCUCUGGUACGUGACUGACGCUGAGACGCGAAAGCGUGGGGAGCAAACAGG